Molecule: ribosomal RNA, 371 nt
Filed under: uncultured bacterium
Lineage: Bacteria
Description: bacterial SSU rRNA
Rfam family: Bacterial small subunit ribosomal RNA
Source: RNAcentral
AGUGAACGCUGGCGGCAUGCCUAACACAUGCAAGUCGAACGGUAACAGGCCCGCAAGGGUGCUGACGAGUGGCGGACGGGUGAGGAAUACAUCGGAAUUUGCCCAGUCGUGGGGGAUAACGUAGGGAAACUUACGCUAAUACCGCAUACGACCUAACGGUGAAAGCGGGGGACCUGCAAGGGCCUCGCGCGGAUGGAUAAGCCGAUGUCGGAUUAGCUAGUUGGCGGGGUAAGAGCCCACCAAGGCGACGAUCCGUAGCUGGUCUGAGAGGAUGAUCAGCCACACUGGGACUGAGACACGGCCCAGACUCCUACGGGAGGCAGCAGUGGGGAAUAUUGGACAAUGGGGGCAACCCUGAUCCAGCAAUGCCG